Molecule: ribosomal RNA, 693 nt
Filed under: Triticum aestivum (bread wheat)
Lineage: Eukaryota; Viridiplantae; Streptophyta; Magnoliopsida; Poales; Poaceae
Description: partial small subunit ribosomal RNA
Source: RNAcentral
AUGCCACCCCCCGCUCUCUGCGCCUCCUCCGCCGCGCGACUGCGACUGCUCCUGCACCAGCCGUCCACGGCGACGACCACCCCGUCUGCGCUCUUCCUCCGCGCAGCCGCUGCUUCUGCCGCCCUCGCGCCCGCGAGGCAGAGAUUAUUGUUCUCGACGACGGGCAUGGCGGCGGCCGCGGGAGCCAAGGCGUCGACGCAGCCGGCGGCGGGCGGGGGCGUGUCGGAGCUCAUCAUGCCGCAUCUCCUCAACAUAUACGGAUCGUGCGCCACGGCACGGGACUUCGAGAUGUACGCGCCCAAUGCCACAUUCGAGGACCCGCUCAUGCGCGCCCACGGCGUCAAGCAGAUCAAAUCAGCCUUCUACACCAUGCCUACGGUAUUCGGUGAGUCCAAGAUCGUAGAGUACACGAUAAAGGAAAACACGACCGGACCGGGGAAAUCCCAGAUACUGAUCGACAACAAGCAACACUACAAGGUCUUUGGCAAGGAUGUCGACCUGGAGUCCCUCAUCACGCCCGACGUCGAGGAUGGCAAGGUCGUCAGGCACCAGGACUGGUGGGACAAGAAGCCUCUCAAGAACAGGGAGACGGUGAGCUUCCCGCUGUUGGGACGGCUGGCGCAGACGAGCCGCCGGGGAGCCAUGCUGCUCACUCAUGUUCUCAUGGGCUUCGGCAAGGACCCCACCCCGUGA